AUUUUUGUAGCUUAAAAAGAGCUACUCAGUGAAGUUGAGGGGGUAAAUUAAAAAUAUUUCAUUAAUA
Molecule: transfer RNA, 67 nt
Filed under: Hishimonoides recurvatis
Lineage: Eukaryota; Metazoa; Arthropoda; Insecta; Hemiptera; Cicadellidae
Description: tRNA-Phe
Source: RNAcentral